Molecule: long non-coding RNA, 2196 nt
Organism: Acanthopagrus latus (yellowfin seabream)
Lineage: Eukaryota; Metazoa; Chordata; Actinopteri; Spariformes; Sparidae
Exons: 4
Source: RefSeq, a predicted model, not a curated record
CUGAGAUCGAUACUUCUCCACUGGCAGGACGGCGGCUAGCGGAACAAACUACUGCUAACGUGAGCGGCGAAGGGUUUGGUUGCCUCGGUACGUGGGCAGGAUGCCAGGAGUGCGGGCUGCCUCAGAUACCCUGGCACCAGACCAGAUGCCGGUGGAAACCCUGGAGUCUUUCCACAGCUCCUCAGAGCUCUCCCAGGGAAUACGGUGAAUAGACACAUGACCGCCGCCCUGCGACUUAACUCCUUCUCGAGGGAGAUGGAGGGAUCGGGAGACGGAGGAGGAACAGAGUGGUCAGAGCGACAUGUGACAGCAGCAGGACAUCUCGGUGGCUGGGUCUCGCCUGCGCACCAGGUCGAGGUCAGCAGCUUGUUGAUCCACCACAGCAGCCCUGGAAGCUUUGAUAGAUUCAAAGGCGAGGCAGGUGCACUUAACAUGCAAUCUGCUUGUGCUACGAGAGCGCAGAAGAAAGGUGACUGUCAUCUCCUCUGAGGAAACAAUGCUGUUACAUGACUCAGCAGUAUAUUUUGUGGGUGAUAUUGCGAAAAAAUAUAGUAAUAUUACGGGGGAGUUGUGAGCACCAAUAUUGUGAAAAACCAUGCAGUAAAGUACAACCAGCUGAUAUUCAGAAAUUGAGCAAGGACACUGGCAGAACUGGUGCUGAAUCACAGUUCCUGCUCAGGCCUGUGAGAGUUGACCAAUAAGAAUCAGCUGAGCUUUUUUGGGAUGAGGGGCCUUACAGUGACAGGAGCGUUCAGACAGAGGGUGAUUCAAAGUAUAUAUGUAUGAAUUAUGGGCUGAGGAAUGGCAAAAACUUGUUACUACCAAUUAAUUACUUAUUACUCAGAUAUUAGUUACUGUUUUGAUAAUGAGAGUACAAAACACACUGAUGACUGGAAAAACCAGCAAGAGACAGGUAGAUUUUAAAAGUGUCCAACCAAACAGAUCACCCCCGUGUGUGUGAGAGUGGUGUGUGCUACGUUCCAUGAGCUCACUUUGCUUUUUAGUCUCAUAAAUAUGUACAUACACAACACUAAAAUCUAAUCUAAAUGUACCUCAGUUAAAACACUGCUCACUGCCGUGGGUGUGCUUUGGGCUAACGUAGCAGCUAAACAAGAGUCCUUCUCUUUACUGCGAGUGCGGCCUGCGGUUGUCAUCGCUAAUUGUGACCAAUGGUUUAUAAGAGUGCACAAUCAUGUACAUGUUAUCAUAAUGUACAUGAACAACGAACGUGGCUAGUUUAAGUACCACUGUAGGCGCAUGUUAAGUAAUCGCUUCAGCUUUAGCUAAACAUCCAGUCAGGCAUAUGCUACAGAUGCAGGCACCUUUGUUUUUCCCUUUUCUAAUAUACAUGCAUAUUACUUUCUGUAUGUAUUUAAUAUAAAACAAAUUGCUUCUAGAAUAAAUUACGAAAACCUUGUUUUGACAACCGGGCUAAUGAGUAGCUUUGGAUUCCCUCUGCAAAAUAGUUCCUCAAAGCUGCUUCAAUAAACAUUUUUAGAUUAAUAAUCAGAUGAAUUUGCUUGUUUUCGCAGUCCCCAUCAGCACUAUGUUUCAGAGCUGCUUUUUUUUUUUUUUUUGUAGUUGAAUUUACCAGCUCAUUGUUCUGGUUUGCAACUGUAACAUUCCCUUCACUUUCCCGUGGACAGCUCCCUCUAAACCCCGCUGCAUGCUCUCAGAUGGCAGAUGGACAAAGACAGCAACUAGCUAGAUAGGGAUGUAUCUAGAUGCUGAAUAGCCAGUGAUAAGAAGCAUAUAAGCCUGUAAACAAGGUGAUAUACAGUACGGGCCAGUGGAAUAAAGUUGGAACUGGGUGACAUCAAACCGGCAGUUUCCUGAUUUGUUCCCCUCUUGGCGAUAACUCAAAAUGUUGCCUGCCAAAUAUUAAAGUGUUAGUGGUUAUAUGUGCACUGUAUCUUGUGGUUUUUAAAAGGUCUGUCGUUACUUUAGGCUAUGCUUCGAAAUUUAAACUGUCCUAACCACUCCAGAGUUAUUUUACUUAUCUCUGAACGUGGUUAUCGCCAAAAUGCUCUGAAGACCUCCUCCGAGUGAGCCGCUGCAGUGCAGUCUGAAAGUCCCGGUGUUUGGUAGCCUACAGUAUUUCCACAGGUGCACAAAAAUAAAUAAAAAUGAGUUCAAACUUGCCCCGAUUAGUUGUACGGAUGUGUCAUUAAAUAAUUUUUUUUGCAUUUCUAACCU